UACCAGCACCCCGAGUGGUCGGGACGUUUAUUGGGCUUAAAGCAUCCGUAGCCGGUUCUACAAGUCUUCCGUUAAAGCCCACGGCUUAACCGUGGGUCUGCGGUGGAUACGGGCAGACUAGAGGCAGGUAGGGGAGAAUGGAAUUCCCGGUGUAGCGGUGAAAUGCGCAGAUAUCGGGAGGAACACCGGUGGCGAAGGCGGUUCUCUGGGCCUGUACUGACGCUGAGGAGCGAAAGCGUGGGGAGCGAACAGG
RNAcentral lists this ribosomal RNA (253 nucleotides) under uncultured bacterium. RNAcentral's name for it is "partial 16S ribosomal RNA". The stretch from base 27 to 253 matches the Rfam family "Bacterial small subunit ribosomal RNA", at positions 550 to 776 of the family's 1533-position model. The record is from RNAcentral.